AUGCUCACUUCAGCAGCACCUCUACUAAAACUAGAAUGAUACAGAGAACAUUAGCAUGACCCCUGCCCAAGGAUGACACACAACAUCCUAAAAACAAUUCAUAGAAAA
Molecule: small nuclear RNA, 108 nt
Organism: Mirounga angustirostris (Northern elephant seal)
Lineage: Eukaryota; Metazoa; Chordata; Mammalia; Carnivora; Phocidae
Source: RefSeq, a predicted model, not a curated record